AGAAUGCGCGCCGUGUCAGGUGCUGCGCAAGGUUCUUCCAAGCGCAGUUAAACGGGAAAGCGGUGCGUCUCCACGAGACCAAUCCGCUGCUGCCCCCGCAACGGUAACAAGUGCGGGCGUACCACAAGGCCACUGGGUUCAAACCUGGGAAGGCGGUACGUCAAGACUUGCGAGCCCGGAUACCGGCCUGAGACAAAUCACGGAA
RNAcentral lists this non-coding RNA (205 nucleotides) under Dechloromonas denitrificans. Lineage: Bacteria; Pseudomonadati; Pseudomonadota; Betaproteobacteria; Rhodocyclales; Azonexaceae. The record is from RNAcentral.